RNAcentral lists this long non-coding RNA (212 nucleotides) under Physcomitrium patens. RNAcentral describes it as "long non-coding RNA (PPAT_LNC001706)". Lineage: Eukaryota; Viridiplantae; Streptophyta; Bryopsida; Funariales; Funariaceae. The record is from RNAcentral.
UGACCUUGAGAAUUGAGAUUAUCAAAUUAUAUUAUGUUAAGUAAAGAUAUUGAAUUCUGUGUGAUAAAUUGAGAAAGUGAAUAUAACAAGUAAGCUGGAGAUCAAUAAUUGAAUAUAUAUAAACUGCAAAGAGAGUAAAUGGGAGAUGAAUGGAUAAGAAUAGGAAAGUAUUGUUGAAUUGAUAGUCAUAGAAUGGAUUAUAUAUUGAAUUA